This 199-nucleotide ribosomal RNA is filed under the name uncultured bacterium. Its description in RNAcentral is "partial 16S ribosomal RNA". It matches the Rfam family "Bacterial small subunit ribosomal RNA", at positions 328 to 539 of the family's 1533-position model. The record is from RNAcentral.
ACGCUCGACACCUACGGGGGGCAGCAGUCGGGAAUAUUGCGCAAUGGAGGAAACUCUGACGCAGUGACGCCGCGUAUAGGAAGAAGGUUUUCGGAUUGUAAACUAUUGUCGUUAGGGAAGAGAAAGGACAGUACCUAAGGAGGAAGCUCCGGCUAACUACGUGCCAGUAGCCGCGGUAAUCUGAGCGGGCUGGCAAGGC